Molecule: ribosomal RNA, 927 nt
Filed under: uncultured archaeon
Lineage: Archaea
Description: bacterial SSU rRNA
Rfam family: Archaeal small subunit ribosomal RNA
Source: RNAcentral
UUCCGGUUGAUCCUGCCGGAGGCCAUUGCUAUCGGAGUCCGAUUUAGCCAUGCUAGUCGAGCGAGGUUAGCCCUCGCGGCGAACAGCUCAGUAACACGUGGCCAAGCUACCCUGCAGAGGGGGACAGCGUCGGGAAACUGACGGGAAUCCCCCAUACCGGUCUCACGCUGGAAUGCCGAGACCGACAAACGCUCCGGCGCUGCAGGAUGCGGCUGCGGCCGAUUAGGUAGUCGGUGGGGUAACGGCCCACCGAGCCGAUAAUUGGUACGGGGUGUGAGAGCACGAGCCCGGAGACGGAAUCUGAGACAAGAUUCCGGGCCCUACGGGGCGCAGCAGGCGCGAAACCUUUACACUGCACGAAGGUGCGAUAAGGGGACUCCGAGUGCGAGGGCAUACAGUCCUCGCUAUUGUGUACCGUAGGGUGGUACACGACCAAGAGCUGGGCAAGACCGGUGCCAGCCGCCGCGGUAAUACCGGCAGCUCGAGUGAUGGCCGAUUUUAUUGGGCCUAAAGCGUCCGUAGCUGGCCCUGCAAGUCCGUCGGGAAAUCCACUCGCCUAACGAGUGGGCGUCCGGCGGAAACUACAGGGCUUGGGACCGGAAGACUUGAGGGGUACGUCUGGGGUAGGAGUGAAAUCCUGUAAUCCUGGACGGACCGCCGAUGGCGAAAGCACCUCAAGACGACGGAUCCGACAGUGAGGGACGAAAGCUAGGGUCUCGAACCGGAUUAGAUACCCGGGUAGUCCUAGCCGUAAACGAUGUUCGCUAGAUGUGGCACAGGCUACGUGCCUGUGCUGUGUCGUAGGGAAGCCGAGAAGCGAACCGCCUGGGAAGUACGUCCGCAAGGAUGAAACUUAAAGGAAUUGGCGGGGGAGCACUACAACCGGAGGAGCCUGCGGUUUAAUUGGAUUCAACGCCGGGAAAGGGC